AAAAAUUUAGAAAAAAUACUGAUAACGCAGUCAAUAAAUCCCAAUGCCCAAACCGACCCGCCUACUGUAAAAGAAAUAAAAGGCACUCGAAGCCCCAAAAAAUCUCACUAGUCUCUCAUUCUCUUCUCCCGCUCAAAUCGUCGAAAACGCCGGCAGCCAUCUUCGAUUUUAAGUUCCCCACGCCGGUCACCGAGAUCUGAACUGGGUUUUUAAGGUUUUGGGAUUUAGAUUUAGAUUUUUGGAUCUAAAAGAUUUGUGUUCUUUGAGGAUUUUGGGGCUUAUAAAUUGUAAAUUUCUCAGUUAAAGCUAAAAGAUUAGGUGUUGUGGUGGUUUUAAGCUGAAAUGAAGUUUCUCAGUUCAACAUUUGGCAUUUGAAUUUCUUGGAAAUGAAAUUCUGUGCCGGGGGGUGUUUGGUGAAGAAUAUAAAGGGCAGAUGAAGCUGAAUUUUUCUUUUGUGUUCUGUAGCAGAACAGGUUUUGGUUGAAUAUAUAUUUACUGGGGAAGCUAAAGCUAAAUUUUCUUAAAAAUAUUCAUGUGAAAUAAUUGCUAAAUUUUCUUGCACUCUAUUUGGAAGUUUGGCAGUGAAGGGGUGGGUAUAUAGUGCUGUGACUGCAUGCGUUGAAGUUGGUGAGUUAUAGAGGCCAACUUUGGGUUGAAAAGGGCAAUUUUCUUUCUGGUUCCAUCUUUUACUGUUGAAUCUGUAGCAAUGAAGCCCUCUUCUGCUGGUUUAAGUCAGCGGUCUCCCGAAGGUAAAUUUUCUUUUCUUCAAGUUAAUUACUCACUAUUUUAAUGUUGCAUAUCUUACAAAAGAGCUUCCACUACAAUUUCAUUUUGGCCUUUUUUGGGUGAGGCCAGAAUGUAUGUAAAAUUGCAUAUUCUUGACAAGUUAAAGGUUAAAUUG
This 901-nucleotide long non-coding RNA is filed under the name Olea europaea subsp. europaea. The record is from RNAcentral. Lineage: Eukaryota; Viridiplantae; Streptophyta; Magnoliopsida; Lamiales; Oleaceae.